GAACGCAAGUUGCGCCCAAGGCCAUCAGGCUAAGGGCACGCCUGCCUGGGCGUCGUGUGCUGCAUCUCUCCUNCCAAUGCUUGCCCAGCAUAUAGCUAGGUUAGCAUUGUGCGGAUGAAAUAUUGGCCCCUUGUGCUUAGGUGCGGUGGGUCUAAGGAUUAGUAUUUUGA
RNAcentral lists this ribosomal RNA (170 nucleotides) under Cypripedium formosanum. Its description in RNAcentral is "5.8S ribosomal RNA". Lineage: Eukaryota; Viridiplantae; Streptophyta; Magnoliopsida; Asparagales; Orchidaceae. The record is from RNAcentral.